RNAcentral lists this ribosomal RNA (465 nucleotides) under uncultured bacterium. Its description in RNAcentral is "partial 16S ribosomal RNA". It matches the Rfam family "Bacterial small subunit ribosomal RNA", at positions 28 to 507 of the family's 1533-position model. The record is from RNAcentral.
GACGAACGCUGGCGGCGUGCUUAACACAUGCAAGUCGAACGGAAAGGCCCCUUUGGGGGUACUCGAGUGGCGAACGGGUGAGUAACACGUGAGUAACCUGCCCUUGACUUCGGGAUAACUUCAGGAAACUGGGGCUAAUACCGGAUAGGAAUCCUUGCUGCAUGGUGGGGGUUGGAAAGCUUCGGCGGUUUUGGAUGGGCUCGCGGCUUAUCAGCUUGUUGGUGGGGUAGUGGCUUACCAAGGCUUUGACGGGUAGCCGGCCUGAGGGGGCGACCGGCCACAUUGGGUCUGAGGGACGGCCCAGGCUCCUACGGGAGGCAGCAGUGGGGAAUCUUGCACGAGGGGCGGCAGCCGGAUGCAGCAGGGCCGCGUGCGGGAUGACGGCCUUCGGGUUGAAGACCGCUUUCAGCAGGGGCGAAGCUUGUGGUGACGGUACCUGCAGAAGAAGCACCGGCUAACUACGUG